Molecule: transfer RNA, 85 nt
Filed under: Candidatus Omnitrophota bacterium
Lineage: Bacteria; Pseudomonadati; Candidatus Omnitrophota
Description: Candidatus Omnitrophica bacterium tRNA-Leu
Rfam family: tRNA
About the family: Transfer RNA (tRNA) molecules are approximately 80 nucleotides in length.
Source: RNAcentral
GCGGGCGUGGCGAAAUUGGCACACGCGCAUGGCUUAGGACCAUGUGGAGAAAUCCUUGGGGGUUCAAGUCCCUCCGCCCGCACCA